Molecule: long non-coding RNA, 1235 nt
Organism: Hypanus sabinus (Atlantic stingray)
Lineage: Eukaryota; Metazoa; Chordata; Chondrichthyes; Myliobatiformes; Dasyatidae
Exons: 2
Source: RefSeq, a predicted model, not a curated record
GAAAGGGCAGUAGAAAAAGGAAGCAGUUUAGGCAGAAACACUUCAAAUGUAUGAAGGUAUUAAGGAGAAAGUAGUAAUAGGGAACUAUUCAUAAAAGCUAUUGUGAACUGAAGGUGGUAAGUGUUUCUAUAUUAACAUGUCCACGUACUUUCUAGCUUGUCUUCCUUCCCCUCCUCCUAUCUUCUCAUUCUAGCAUCUUUUCCUUUCCAGUCCUGAAGAAGGGUCUCGGCCUGAAACAUUGACAGUUUAUUUCUCUCCAUAGAUGCUGCCCGACCUGCGGAGUUCCUGCAGCAUUUUGUGUGUGUGUGUUGUGCUCACACGCUGAAAUGUUGUUUAAGUGUACCUGUGCUAUAUUAGGUUGGAAAAAAAUCCAUUUAAUAGAGAUUCUGUCCUGUUACCAACCUUCAAAAAAGUUCUAAGUAAAUUUAUUAUCAAAGUACACUUAUGUCAGCAUGCACCAGCCUCAGAUUCAUUUUCUUACAGACAUUCAAAGUAAAUACACUACACGCAGGCAAGAGUUUACCUAAUCCAGAAAGCACCAGCCAAAUCUGGAAUUCACCAGAGACUGUUCAGUCUGAAGAUUAAUUUGCUGAGCGAGAUAUGCACAGAGCCAGCACAUGUGACACCCAAGGAUUAAAAAGAUCAUGGGAUAUAUUGAGGAAGUUGUUCAGACAGAGCCAUACAGAAAAUGAAAACAAGGACCAUGAAGAAACACUGUUUUAAUUUUUGCUGAUGUUGACGAUUUUCUCAGUUCACAGCUCUACAUUUAAAAGCAAAGAGGACACUAAAGCGAUUUACUACAAAUGAGUGUUUGGUUGUCAGAGACCGAUAUAGCUCACAACAAAGCAUUUGGAGCUACUCAUGUUAAACAGGAGGCUCCGCAGAUGCUGGAAAUCCAGAGCAACGCACAGAAAACGCUGGAGGAUCUCAGCAGGUCAGGCAGCAUCUAUGGAGGGGAAUGAACAGUCGAUGUUUCGAGUCUCAAGGAUUAGACAGUCAACAUUUCAGGCCAAAAUAAGGUGCGGGGAGUGGAAGGAUUACAAGCUAGAAGCACAGUGUGUGGUGAACUAUGUGCCUGUCUGGACACGCCCCCUGCUGACUGCUCCUGUGGCUCUUCCCACAGGCCCCUGUAUAAAGGCGAUCUGAGGCCUGACGCUCGGCCUCAGUCUCCAGGACAUGGUAUGAUGGACACUCACUCCUGGUUCCUUCUUCCAGUCAAUAAAAGCCGAUAUCUC